RNAcentral lists this ribosomal RNA (3163 nucleotides) under Triticum aestivum (bread wheat). RNAcentral's name for it is "partial small subunit ribosomal RNA". Lineage: Eukaryota; Viridiplantae; Streptophyta; Magnoliopsida; Poales; Poaceae. The record is from RNAcentral.
CGCAAUUAAAAAAACAGGACCCACUCCCGUCCCACGUCCCGUCUCCCAACUCCCAAGUCCCAAUCUCCCCCACCUCUCUCUCCCGAUCUGUCCUCUCUCUCGACCUCAUGAGAAAAAUCGCCGCCGUCGCCUCCGCCCCAACACUCGUCCGCCACGAUGAACUGCCCAUCUCCAUCGCCGUUCGAUGCUCGUCUCAGUCACCGUGGCGCAGCCCGUGCAAGCCGCCCUUGUACGGCCUCCUCGCCUCCGCCGCCGCAACAACCGCCGCUUCCAUGGACUACGUCGACGAGCGGCCAACCAGAUCCAGUGCAGCGCUGCCGAUGUCUGGGUGGAAGAUGAGCGUGAGCUUCCGGGGUCAGCAUACCACCGGGAAAGAGGGCAGACGGAUGAGAGGGAGGCUCUCCAAGGAGGAAGCCGGCCAGCUUGUCACCAGGGGAAGCCGACCAGCAUAUAUAGGCAUGGUUGUCGUUGGCAGAGAUUGUGUAGGGCUGGACUAUCUUUGAGAUCCUGCGGUACAUGUCGGAGCAUAACUGGUCGGCGUACGAGGAGGCCCUCAAGGCCAAUCCGGUUCUUGCCAAGAUGAUGAUCAGCGGUGUCGUCUACUCCCUCGGCGACUGGAUAGCCCAGGGUGCUUGAGCGCGACGACACGCCUACUUAGUUCCUAGCGCUCGCGAACGCCGGAGUUGGACGCGCCCAUGCAUGCAUUUUAGCUCUGAGGACGGCAUCGUGAACGCACGUACUCGGGUGCUCCUCAGCAGCAGUUGAUCCACGUGGGGUCCUACUUGAGUUCCUCCGUCCCCUGGCAGCGAGGCAGCAGGUCCCCGUCCCCCUCUCCGUCUCCGGCAUGUUGAUCCCGGUGGCGUCACAGUGGUGGUGUGUGGUGUCAUGUCACAAUAAGGUAGCAUCUAUUCUUUCCCCACCCUAAUUUUUGUGGUCAGCGUCCGGAGCCCAACCUACCGAUCGUUGUCCCCAAACCUCACCGACUUCUUCGGUGGGUGCUCUUUCUUCCCCCUCUCUCGUUUCACUUGACGCUGAUAGCUGAUUGCUAGCAUCCUCGGUUGUGCUCAUGUCUUCUAAAUUUGGCAUGGUAUGCAUUUGCUUGAGAUGAGGGUAUGGGAUGGAGGUGGCUCUAAUUUCGAGGCUGUGGUUUAUUGGGCUUAUAAUGUCGACAUGAUUAAUGAUGUGAACCGUAUGUUUUGUUUUCCACAAAAUAGGUUUUUUCUAUGCAAUAUGAGGCUAGGUUUCAAGUAACAUGUGCCUUGCAUUCGAUGGCUAUACAGUAACAUGCUCUCGGAGAAAAGGUUAUGUUUCAUGUUAUUAUUAUCUAUUGCCUUGCAUUCGAUGGAAAAUUGACAACCGCUAUGUCAUAUCUUUGCCCACUCAUGAUGCCGAUAAAUAGUUCAAAAAAAUUAGAAAGACUUAUAUAUUUCACUAUGCUAGCUACAUAUGUUUAUGAUGGUUUAUUUUCACCAAAUUUUGUUGCACUUUGACAGUAGACUAUGUGAUAAUUUGUAAUAGAGUUCAGAGAAACUGGCAACACACAGUUCCAAAAGAGCGCAAUGCACAUGGAAGGAAAGACUGUAGUAUUAGCUGUUGUAAUCUAUGAAAUUUCGUACUCCGUGAGUAAGGUUAAGAAUGACCAACUGAUUGAACUUGUUCACAACGUUAACAGUAAUCAUGAUAAACUUAGUAUUCCUGACUUUCUAUUUCUUGUUGUUUUCUACUGUGGACCUAUUUGCAGGUUUUUACAGAGGAAUUAGUUUAGGUGUUACUGGUUCACUUGCUACAGCUGAAACAUAUUUUGCUGUUAUUGUUAUUGAAUGAACUAAGAUAUGGCUGGAGCACACUAAUCCUAAUCUAAGAGGUCAUUUCUCUCACUUAUUUGUUGGAGGAGUUAGAGAGAGAAUUUUUUUUAUGACCACUGUGUUUUCUUUCCAGAAAAUCUGCAUGACGUGGCCUAAAUUUAUAUUGGUUCUCAGCAUGUUACUAGGAUGCAUGUGGUCUUUGUAUAUUAAAACUUUUCCGGUCUCUGUUUUGGCUCAUGUAAUACUUACCGAUACGAUUUACUUGUUCAUCAGAAUAAUGUGUUGAUUCCUUGACACAACAUAAGCUUUUUUUCAAGCUCAUUCCAGGAGAUACACUUGCAUCUUUUAUCUAUGUGACGUGCCUUGUGAAAUUAUGAAACAAGGAAUGCAUGACCAAGGCUCCAACAAAUCAUCAGCACUAAAUGCUACAGAAGGAAAUGAUCUAUGCCAUCUGUUUUAUCUAGAGAGAUCAUGAUGUGAAGGUUUUCAAUGUAGGGUACUGGUACCAAGUGCUUGUUGCUAUAACAUAUUUCUUUUGUUUUCUAAUAGAGAAAUAAAUGAGUUCUUUCGGCCCAACAAAAGAAAACAUAUAGUAUCUUCAAGGAAGCAACCUUUUGAGUCAACAAAUUAUCCCCCCAUGCCAAAACUGAAUACAUGGUAGUCUAGCAUACUCGGAUACUGUGAUACAAGUAGGAGUAUCAAAUACAAGACAUUUCUUUUUUUAUGCGCACAUUCCUGGAAGCAUGAAUGUAUGUUCAUGGAGAAAACAUGGUCAAUUGUUGUAUAAAAAAACUGAUAAUGUUCAAUACAUGUUUAGCAUGGGCAGCCAGAUAUUCUUGUCAAUUACUAAGCAUAUGGAUAAUUCAUCUCUUAACCAUUGCAAUCUUGCCUCGGAUCUUUCUGUUUGCUCCGCCAGACAAAACCUGGUAGCAAUGGGUUGGCAAGUGGGACAAACAGGAAAAGAGAACUGAGAAGAAGUGCCAAGUGGUCUGCUUUGAGUUAGGGGAAUUCAAGGUGCAUUUGUGGUAUUGUUUCUGCAUUAUGCUUGUAUUCACGAAUUGUUCGGUAAAAAUGGAAGCAAAUGUGUAAUAGUCAAGCAGAUCAUCAAGGAACGAAUAGCUAAGCAGAAUUACUUUUGUUUUUAUUUGCAUAUGAUGCCAAUAGCUUUACUUGAAACAUAUUUGAAGUCGAAGUGACAUCUUGUUGUUUUGGGGUAUUAUGUGACUAUUUUUCGUACACAUGUGAAAGAAACUUGAAUUACGUGAGGCGAAUGGAUGUAUAGGGGAGGCAAGUGUAAGGUGAUGUUCUUGAAAUGCAGUGAUAAUUGCAUGGCACUCAUUCUUGAAGUUAUAAUGAUG